UACGAAGGGGGCUAGCGUUGCUCGGAAUCACUGGGCGUAAAGGGUGCGUAGGCGGGUCUUUAAGUCAGGGGUGAAAUCCUGGAGCUCAACUCCAGAACUGCCUUUGAUACUGAAGAUCUUGAGUUCGGGAGAGGUGAGUGGAACUGCGAGUGUAGAGGUGAAAUUCGUAGAUAUUCGCAAGAACACCAGUGGCGAAGGCGGCUCACUGGGCCGGCCCUGACGCUGAGACGCGAAGGCGUGGGGAGCGAACGGG
RNAcentral lists this ribosomal RNA (253 nucleotides) under uncultured bacterium. RNAcentral's name for it is "partial 16S ribosomal RNA". It matches the Rfam family "Bacterial small subunit ribosomal RNA", at positions 524 to 776 of the family's 1533-position model. The record is from RNAcentral.